Panthera uncia (snow leopard) is the source of this 850-nucleotide long non-coding RNA. RefSeq lists it as uncharacterized. The record is from RefSeq and is a predicted model, not a curated record. The transcript has 5 exons. NCBI's taxonomy places the organism in Eukaryota, Metazoa, Chordata, Mammalia, Carnivora, Felidae.
UCCACCACACUGUCCAGCACCAGCCAGGCUAUGUUGUUCUGCUUCGUUUUGAAGGAAACGUUAUAGGGAACCAUAAUGGCGGUGUAGAAGAACAUGGAACCUGGAAAUUGUGAAAAGGAGUUGAAAGAAUAGAUCUGAGAGCUCUGCUCCAUGCCAUCAAUGAAGCUAAGGCUGAGUGAACCUAUAUAAAUUCAAACAUCCCAUGGACCCCUAAAAGCACUGUAGCCCCACACACUGUGUUUAUAGACAAGCCUGCCCUGCUCAGCACCUCAGCAGAACAUGAGAUGUCUUCUCUAGAGAUGGAAUGGGAUCACUCCUAAGCCAUCCAGGACCUAGUUCUUCAGACAGUGACUUGCAUAUGUAAAAGGAUCCAGAAAUGCUACAAGAAGACAAGGAGCAGGAGCACGCAUGAACAACAAAGGAACACACAUGCUUGUGCUUUGAUGUCUCUCAGAUGCAGAGCACUACUUUGAUCUUCACUCUGACGCCGGCGCUUUUAUAAAGCAAUUUGUUACUGGAAGACAACUGUCCAGCCAGGAAUGUAUUUCCCAGCACUCCUUGCAUCCAGCUCUCCCCAUGUUCCCAGUUCUCAUCAAUGGAAUGAAAGCAGAAAUGAUGUGUGUCACUCUCACACAUGCCACAACUUAUGAAGCAGGUGAGACUUCUCUACACGUUCUCCCUCCUUCUACCAGCUGGAUACAAGUGACAACAAGCCCCUAGGGAAUAGUAAAGCACUGAAUCCGUGCACGGAAGGCUGCCAUAUGCCAAGGAUCACCUGCCUUCGACUGUAACGUGAGCAAGAAAUAUGCUUCUGCUGUGUUAAGCUGCUGGAAGAUGGGGGGGGAGGGGU